This 453-nucleotide ribosomal RNA is filed under the name uncultured bacterium. Its description in RNAcentral is "SSU rRNA". It matches the Rfam family "Bacterial small subunit ribosomal RNA", at positions 26 to 518 of the family's 1533-position model. The record is from RNAcentral.
AGAGCGAACGCUGGCGGCAUGCUUAACACAUGCAAGUCGCACGGUCAGGUUUCGGCCUGGUAGUGGCGGACGGGUGGGUAACGCGUAGGUAUCUAUCCGAAGGUGGGGGAUAACGGCGGGAAACUGCUGCUAAUACCGCAUAUGACCUGAGGGUCAAAGGUCGCAAGACCGCCUGUGGAGGAGCCUGCGUACGAUUAGCUUGUUGGUGGGGUAAAGGCCUACCAAGGCGACGAUCGUUAGCUGGUCUGAGAGGAUGAUCAGCCACAUUGGGACUGAGACACGGCCCAAACUCCUACGGGAGGCAGCAGUGGGGAAUAUUGGACAAUGGGGGCAACCCUGAUCCAGCAAUGCCGCGUGUGUGAAGAAGGUCUUCGGAUUGUAAAGCACUUUCGACGGGACGAUGAUGACGGUACCCGUAUAAGAAGCCCCGGCUAACUUCGUGCCAGCAGCCGC